AAAACAAGAUCAGGGUCGUUACAUCCUUGUACAAAAGUUGUAUCUUGUUUUGUAUCCAAUAAAAAUAAAAAAUCUCGUUUAUAUUUCGAUCUCCCUAAGAUAAAUUAUCCUCCAUUUACAGCCCAUACUUCUAUAAUUCCAGCAGAGAAGUCGCCUCAAAUUUGUACUGAUUAGCUCUGUUGAGCAAUACAGCUGGAUAUAAAGAAACCAUAAGUGUCCAAACCAUUUAUAAUUCAUCUUUAGUUUUGACGUGAGACGGACGUUAGUCUGAUUAUGCACCCCAUAUCCUCGACAUUCUCUGUCUCUCCUUUGAUAAUUAAAUGUGACCAAUAGCAUCACAUACCAAUAAAAAAGGAGAAACGAGAACCAAGGCUAUAAUGACCAUCUUAAACGUAUUACUCCAAAUAAAAUCUGCUGAUGUUUAACUCUCUUCCGACACAUAUAUGAACUCCAGUCAAAGACCAAAGAAAAAGUAAAUUUAUUUCAAGGAUAAAGUUCCUUUGCACCAGAUGUGUAAAAACCCAACUCUCCUCCAUACGCUUUCCUUGAUUAUGUAAAAAAGAAGAAGCCAAAAACCAUAUUUGAUUCAAACACAGAGUAAUAUCGUUACACACAUGAACCUUAAAAUGAAAACCACUCCUCCACCCAUAUCUUUGCAUCACCGUGCACCAUAUUUGUUAAACCAAACACAUGACCAAUUCCAUGACCAAACCAAACAAACAUCCAUUAACACAUCCUGAGCUUGGAAAGAGUAUGCAAACCAAACCAGAAGUGCACCAUACGUACCAAACAUGAUACCAUAAAACCAAAAUACCAAUCUUAUUCCCAUUCCAGAUCUUAUAAAUCGAUCUAUCAAAACUCAAACAAG
Molecule: long non-coding RNA, 868 nt
Filed under: Brassica napus (rape)
Lineage: Eukaryota; Viridiplantae; Streptophyta; Magnoliopsida; Brassicales; Brassicaceae
Description: long non-coding RNA (BNAP_LNC012043)
Source: RNAcentral